CUGGCCGUAAACGAUGGACGCUAGGUGUGGGCGGUUUAUCCGUCUGUGCCGAAGUUAACGCGUUAAGCGUCCCGCCUGGGGAGUACGAUCGCAAGGUUGAAACUCAAAGGAAUUGACGGGGGCCCGCACAAGCGGUGGAGCGCGUGGUUUAAUUCGAUGCAAACCGAAGAACCUUACCUGGGUUUGACAUGCAGGUGGUACGAGCCCGAAAGGGUGAGGACCGCACCUUCGGGUGCGGAGCCUGCACAGGUGC
Molecule: ribosomal RNA, 253 nt
Filed under: uncultured bacterium
Lineage: Bacteria
Description: partial 16S ribosomal RNA
Rfam family: Bacterial small subunit ribosomal RNA
Source: RNAcentral